Molecule: ribosomal RNA, 253 nt
Filed under: uncultured bacterium
Lineage: Bacteria
Description: partial 16S ribosomal RNA
Rfam family: Bacterial small subunit ribosomal RNA
Source: RNAcentral
UACAGAGGUCUCAAGCGUUGUUCGGAUUCAUUGGGCGUAAAGGGUGCGUAGGCGGUGGGUCAAGUCAGGUGUGAAAUCCCGGAGCUCAACUCCGGAACUGCACUUGAUACUGCUUUGCUAGAGUACUGGAGAGGAGACUGGAAUUUACGGUGUAGCAGUGAAAUGCGUAGAUAUCGUAAGGAAGACCAGUGGCGAAGGCGAGUCUCUGGACAGUUACUGACGCUGAGGCACGAAGGCCAGGGGAGCAAACGGG